UACGUAGGGUGCAAGCGUUAAUCGGAAUUACUGGGCGUAAAGCGUGCGCAGGCGGUUGUGCAAGACAGGUGUGAAAUCCCCGGGCUUAACCUGGGAACUGCAUCUGUGACUGCAUUGCUGGAGUGCGGCAGAGGGGGAUGGAAUUCCGCGUGUAGCAGUGAAAUGCGUAGAUAUGCGGAGGAACACCGAUGGCGAAGGCAAUCCCCUGGGCCUGCACUGACGCUCAUGCACGAAAGCGUGGGGAGCAAACAGG
This 253-nucleotide ribosomal RNA is filed under the name uncultured bacterium. RNAcentral describes it as "partial 16S ribosomal RNA". It matches the Rfam family "Bacterial small subunit ribosomal RNA", at positions 524 to 776 of the family's 1533-position model. The record is from RNAcentral.